AAAUUGUUGAAAGGGAAGCGCUUGUGACCAGACUUGCGCCGGGCAGCUCAUCAGGGGUUCUCCCCUGUGCACUCUGCCCGGCUCAGGCCAGCAUCGGUUCUCGUGGGAGGAUAAGAACGGUAGGAACGUGGCCCCCCUCCGGGGGGGUGUUAUAGCCUACCGUACGAUACUCCCGUGGGGACCGAGGUUCGCGCUCCGCAAGGAUGCUGGCGUAAUGGUCAUCAGCGACCCGUCUUGAAACACGGACCAAGGAGUCGUCCAUUAGAGCGAGCGUUUGGGUGUAAAACCCGCACGCGUAAUGAAAGUGAACGCAGGUGAGAGCUUCGGCGCAUCAUCGACCGAUCCUGAUGUCUUCGGAUGGAUUUGAGUAAGAGUUUUAACGGACGGACCCGAAAGACAGUGAACUAUGCUUGUAUAGGGUGAAGCCAGAGGAAACUCUGGUGGAGGCUCGCAGCGGUUCUGACGUGCAAAUCGAU
RNAcentral lists this ribosomal RNA (476 nucleotides) under Cytospora populina. Its description in RNAcentral is "partial large subunit ribosomal RNA". It matches the Rfam family "Eukaryotic large subunit ribosomal RNA", at positions 402 to 902 of the family's 3401-position model. Lineage: Eukaryota; Fungi; Ascomycota; Sordariomycetes; Diaporthales; Cytosporaceae. RNAcentral also lists the same sequence under 1 other name. The record is from RNAcentral.